RNAcentral lists this transfer RNA (73 nucleotides) under Ornithorhynchus anatinus (platypus). It matches the Rfam family "tRNA". Rfam says of the family: Transfer RNA (tRNA) molecules are approximately 80 nucleotides in length. The record is from Rfam by way of RNAcentral. Lineage: Eukaryota; Metazoa; Chordata; Mammalia; Monotremata; Ornithorhynchidae.
AGCAGCGUAGCUCAGUGGAAAAGAGCACGGGCUUUGGAGUCAGAGGUCAUGGGUUCAAACCCCGGCUCUGCCA